RNAcentral lists this ribosomal RNA (230 nucleotides) under uncultured bacterium. Its description in RNAcentral is "partial 16S ribosomal RNA". It matches the Rfam family "Bacterial small subunit ribosomal RNA", at positions 111 to 334 of the family's 1533-position model. The record is from RNAcentral.
UAAUACAUAAGUAACCUGCCCUAGACAGGGGGAUAACUAUUGGAAACGAUAGCUAAGACCGCAUAGGUACGGACACUGCAUGGUGACCGUAUUAAAAGUGCCUCAAAGCACUGGUAGAGGAUGGACUUAUGGCACAUUAGCUGGUUGGCGGGGUAACGGCCCACCAAGGCGACGAUGCGUAGCCGACCUGAGAGGGUGACCGGCCACACUGGGACUGAGACACGGCCCAG